GUGCUCACUUCAGCAGCACAGCCACUAAAGCUGGAACAUGCAGAGAAGAGGAGCGUGGUCCGUGCACAAGGAUGACACAGAAAUUAAUGAGGCAUUCCGUAUUCUG
Small nuclear RNA from Cebus imitator (Panamanian white-faced capuchin), 106 nucleotides. The record is from Ensembl. Lineage: Eukaryota; Metazoa; Chordata; Mammalia; Primates; Cebidae.